UUGAGAAUCGUAAUCAACCAGAUAUGCAAUGAUGGCGCACAAAAGAAGAUAUAAAGAACAUGUACUUGAUGAUUUGAGACAACCAUCAAAGGCCACGAAAUAUCGACGGAUAACAGAAUCUGAGAAUUAUUUUAAGUGCCGAGACCGAGGGACUUACAAGAACUAUCUCAAUUGCCCAUCCUCCCACAAAGAAAAGAGACGAGUCUUAACGGAGCUGUCCCAGAAUGCUCCUCAUGAAGGACCUCUGACAGAAAGUGCAAGCAGUCAGACAGCAGGACUACAGCAUGAGCAGGACACACAAAACAACAAAUCCUCAGAGGUAAAAUGUCUACAGAUUGAAUUUUUAAAUUUUAACAUUUUUAAACUUAAUGCUUAUUUGUUGCAUUGUUAUCAUUGUUCUACAAUGUAAGUAAAUCAGGGAUAAGCUUAUAUUUUCCCUGUUGUCCUGUAUGUGUAUGUGAUAAAGAUACAUGAAAAAUUGCUUGUAAUAAACACACCCAUGUCUCCUAAUGCUGUUGUAUGACUCAUUACAGCUUGACAGUGAGGCAGCCUGGAGACAGUCCCACUUAGUCCAAGUGAUGGAAUUACCCUCCACGUCAGACCAAGACAGACCUUGGACUCACAUAAGUGGGGACCAACCUGAUAUAAAAAUGCUAACAGAAUUACAGGACAUAUCCUGGACACAGCCAGAAGAGAACAAGUCUGUUCCAACUGCUGAUCAGCAUGAGCCAAACAAAAAGGUAUGGCAGGACAUAUCCUGGACACAACCAGAAGAGAACAUGUCUUUUCCAACUCCUGACCAGCAAGAGCCAAACGAAAAGGCAGGCCCAUUAACAGAUGGCGAUGAUCCUGUGUAUCCCGGCGCACCUCUGACAAAAGGACAAAGUUUACUGUUGCUUAUGUCCUUUAUACUAAGGCACAAUCUUACAGCUGUUUCACUGGACCAUCUACUGAAAAUUUUCAAUGAGCAUUUUCCAGGCAUGGUACCAGUGACCACAUAUCUUUUCCGAAAAGCUUAUGGUCAGUAUGGAAAUUAUGAACCCCAUUUCUACUGUCCAACAUGUGAAAACUACUUAGGGAAAAAUACUGGUGAGCUACAGUGUGACAUUUGUCACACAGUAACUGAUUCAGACAGCUCUCUUAAAAGUGGAUGCUUUUUCCUGGUUCUUAGUUUGGCCUCACAGAUCAAAACAUUGCUUGAGGAAAAACAAACAAAAAUUCAAAAAGAUUGGCUGAAUUCAGAUACAAUUUCAGACAUCCAAUGUGGAGAUGAGUAUCAAAAACUUAAGGAAUCUGGUGCAAUGGGUGAAGAUGACAUAUCUUUAAUUUGGAACUGUGAUGGAAUCCCACUGUUCAGAAGCUCCAAGUACCAGAUCUGGCCCAUACAGUGCCAAGUAAUAGAGCUUGAGCCUAGAGAACGAAAGGCAAAUAUCUGCAUUCCAUGUCUUUGGUUUGGGGAAAAAAAGCCCUAUAUGCUCACAUUUUUGAAGCCAUUCGUAGAUGAACUGUCAAUUCUACAGAAAGAUGGAAUUAAAUGGAAAAAUUCAGCAAACAUAGAGCACACUUCCAAGGUUUUUGCUCUCAUAUGUAGUUCUGAUUCAGUCGCCCGCCCACUUCUAAGGAACACUAAACAGUUCAAUGGUUUUUAUGGGUGUGACUUUUGCUACCAUGUUGGGGGAGGUCCCUACACAAAUAAAGACCCUGUGCCAAAACUUAGAACUGAAGUAGAGCACUUUGAUCACGCAUUGGCCGCAACACUUGAGAAAACUGUAAUGGGAGUAAAAGGACCUUCACCUUUAAUGAGACUUGAAAACUUUCAAAUGAUAAAUGGAUUUGUUCCAGAGUAUCAACACUCUGUCUGCCUUGGGGUUACAAGGCAACUAGCUAAUCUGUGGUUUGACUCCAGAAAUCAUGAACAAGAGUGGUACAUAGGAACAAAAUCAGACCUUCUAGACAAAGAGCUAGUUACAAUCAAACCACCUGUUGAGAUAAUCAGAGUACCACGGUCUGUGGCAGACAGAAAGUACUGGAAGGCAUCAGAGUGGAGGUCAUUCCUCUUAUUCUAUGCUCUGCCUCUUCUGAAUGGGGUUUUACUGAGGAAAUUCUGGAACCACCUUUUUCUGUUUGUGUUUGCUAUGCACAUUCUUUUGGGAGAAAAAGUGAAACGCUGUGAUAUUGAUGUAGCAGAAAGAGCUCUCAGAAAGUUCACUUUGCAGUUUGAGAAGUUAUAUGGAGCAGCAAAUAUGACUUUCAAUGUUCAUCUACUGACACACAUUACAACAAGUGUAAGGAACUGGGGGCCUCUGUGGGCCACAUCAACCUUUUCCUUUGAAUCAUUUAAUGGCACUCUGUUAAAGUACUUCCAUGGAACCACCCAUGUUCCUGAACAAAUUGUUAGAAGGUUUCUUUGCUGGAGGAGUGUAACGCAGAAAGCUGAAAAGGUGAUGGCAGAUGCAAAUGAUGGUGUUAAAAAGAUUUUUGCUGGUUUACAAAGCAGCCAUUUACAUUCUUGUAAGUCAGCCAGCCUCAAUGAAAAUGUCAGGGUUUUUGGCAAACCCUGUCAUGGUACACUAUCACCAUCCCAAUCAUCUGCUGUCAAAAAUUUGCUGGGUGUUACAGUCAGUCAAUGUGUAUUUUAUCAUCGUUUCAUCGUAAAAGGAAUACUGUACCAUUCAAGCAGUUACACAAACCUUAAAAAAAGGAUAAACUCAACAGUAGAAUUAAUGGAUGGACGACUGUGCAGAAUUCUUAGCAUGUUAGUAUUCAGAUUACACCAUGUAUCAAUGCACUGUGUAUUGGUUAGGGAGCUCAAGAAUACCGGUAAACUGCUCUGCAGGGACAGUGAGCUAAACAUUACUUCAUAUUUUGUUUCUGAGGUGUUGCAGUCCAACAAUGUAUGUGCGGUUCCCACUGAUCUGUUUUACAGAAAAUGUGUUUUGAUAGAAGCAAAAGCCAAAAACUAUGUUAUUCCACUCCCAAAUAAUAUAGAGAGAGAUUAAAUAUGAACUGACACAUGAAUGAGAGAUAUGCAUAUUGCUCACUGAGCCUGUUCGUGCCCUUAUCUGGAUAUAUGUUGUUCCUUGUUUUUCUUUUAUUUUGUAUGGUGCAAUGGUAUGGCUCUGUGGAAGCACCCUAAAUUUUGUUGUACCAAUGACAAUAACGUCUAUUCUAUUCGCUUAUCCUCCAAGCUUGCAAGUUGUUUUUUU
Molecule: long non-coding RNA, 3206 nt
Organism: Cyprinus carpio (common carp)
Lineage: Eukaryota; Metazoa; Chordata; Actinopteri; Cypriniformes; Cyprinidae
Source: Ensembl